CAGCAGCCACGGUAAUACGUAGGUGGCAAGCGUUGUCCGGAAUUAUUGGGCGUAAAGGGCUCGCAGGCGGUUUCUUAAGUCUGAUGUGAAAGCCCCCGGCUCAACCGGGGAGGGUCAUUGGAAACUGGGAAACUUGAGUGCAGAAGAGGAGAGUGGAGUUCCACGUGUAGCGGUGAAAUGCGUAGAGAUGUGGAGGAACACCAGUGGCGAAGGCGACUCUCUGGUCUGUAACUGACGCUGAGGAGCGGAAGCGUGGGGAGCGAACAGGAUUAGAGACCCCUGUAGUCCCUGUCUCUUAUAC
This 301-nucleotide ribosomal RNA is filed under the name uncultured bacterium. RNAcentral's name for it is "partial 16S ribosomal RNA". It matches the Rfam family "Bacterial small subunit ribosomal RNA", at positions 509 to 807 of the family's 1533-position model. The record is from RNAcentral.